This 920-nucleotide ribosomal RNA is filed under the name uncultured organism. RNAcentral describes it as "bacterial SSU rRNA". It matches the Rfam family "Bacterial small subunit ribosomal RNA", at positions 1 to 917 of the family's 1533-position model. The record is from RNAcentral.
UGGAUCCAGACUUUGAUCCUGGCUCAGGAUGAACGCUAGCGGCAGGCUUAACACAUGCAAGUCGAGGGGCAGCGCGGGAUAGCAAUAUUCUGGCGGCGACCGGCGGAAGGGUGCGUAACGCGUGAGCGACAUGCCCGUUGCCCGGGGACAACCGGUGGAAACGCCGACUAAUCCCCGAUGGGAUACGAUGCUUCAUGGCAUUGUAUUGAAAGUUACGGCGGCGACGGAUUGGCUCGCGUCCGAUUAGCUGGUUGGCGGGGUGACGGCCCACCAAGGCUACGAUCGGUAGGGGUUCUGAGAGGAAGGCCCCCCACAAUGGGACUGAGACACGGCCCAUACUCCUACGGGAGGCAGCAGUGAGGAAUAUUGGUCAAUGGGCGGAAGCCUGAACCAGCCAUGCCGCGUGCGGGAAGGAGGCCCUAUGGGCUGUGAACCGCUUUUGCCUGGGGGCAAUAAGGGCGUCGCGCACGUCCGAUGAGAGUACCAGGCGAAUAAGCAUCGGCUAACUCCGUGCCAGCAGCCGCGGUAAUACGGGGGAUGCGAGCGUUAUCCGGAUUCAUUGGGUUUAAAGGGUGCGUAGGCUGUGCGUCAAGUCGGGGGUGAAAUUCCGGUGCUCAACACCGGGGCUGCCCUUGAUACUGUCGCGCUGGAGUGCGGAUGCCGCCGGAGGAAUGAGUGGUGUAGCGGUGAAAUGCUUAGAUAUCACUCAGAACACCGAUUGCGAAGGCAUCUGGCGAAUCCGUAACUGACGCUGAGGCACGAAAGCGUGGGGAUAGAACAGGAUUAGAUACCCUGGUAUUCCACGCCGUAAACGAUGAUGGCUAACCGCCGGCGACACACUGUCGGUGGCCAAGCGAAAGCGAUAAGCCAUCCACCUGGGGAGUACGUCGGCAACGAUGCAACUCAAAUGAAUUGACGGA